UUCAGGGUCCCAGGAAAUGAGGAAUUGCUGUUGCUCAAAUAUUAUUAAAACUACCCAUCUUAAUCCCCUGAAUUCUACUAAUCAUUCAGCAUUCCUUUUGCAGCUAAGAAGAGAUCAGCGAUAUGACACUCAUAUAUUACUUCCCACCAGGCAUUAUGUAUAAGUAAAAGCAUCAGCUUCUCUUUGCUCUUCCGAGUGGAUUGCAGUCAGUGGGAGUUUUGCUUUAAGCACAGCCUGCCUGCGACAGGGCAUCUUUCACUGAAGAACUUUUCCUUUCUUGUAUUUUUCUUUUAAAUACAGUGGAAACUUCCCACUUUGGUGUAAGUCACAUUGCCCUAAGAACCUAAAGAAACAGUUACCACCGAGAAACUGAAAAUGCUACCUAUUAUUUGAUCAAUAUUUCCUACUGCUGCCAUAAAGUUGGACUUCCAGGGAUCCAAGGAUUUUUAAGAGACAUGUCAAGACCCUGAAAUGUUUCUUAUUCUCUUAAAUGAAGAGAUAAAAAAGGGCCCUUGCCCAGGUACUUUGUUCUUUAUGGGAUUGGCUGUCAUGUUCACACUGGAGGGAAAAACGGGAACGAUAGCUACUUUUUCCAAUUGCUUCUAUCUAAAAUGUCUACCUAAAUGGUCAGGGGAUACUGAUACAAGGACCUCCUUGUGAGGAAUGCCCACCAGCACGCUGGUGCUGGUUGCAGAUACUUGAAACGGGAGCCUGCCACUGGCAAAGCGCAGAAAAGGAAGGUCUGGCACACGAGAAGCAAAGCUGCUGGCUUCCCUCCCAGGCGCAAGCGAAAGGCAGCGACCUCCGCUCGCGUCUGGGGCUUGCAGGGUCUGUCCGGGACAGGUAACCGCAGCGAUGUUCCCCGCCUCUACAAACAGAUGCAGCUCUGGAAAGACACUGCUGCCACCUGCUGCGCCAUUUUGCUUUUAAAGGCACAAACCCAAGCCCCGAGUAAUGCUGCUGCCUACGGCUCAUGUUUUCCCAUUGGCUUUGUCUGCUAGGGUUAGGAAAGGAUUAAUUGCUCUGCAGGUUUUAAACUUACUUCGUGGUGGCGAUCGCGUGCUGUGCUAACCCCCCGGUAUUUCACAAGGCACGGUGAAGGCCACAGUUCCUACCCUGUCCAGGAGAGCACAGCAAGUCACUCGCUACCCACUGCUGCCGGUUGGCAGUGUCACCUGGCAUCAACAGCAUUGGCCUCCACCGCUGGAAUCUGUCUGUGAUCUAGACUGCAGGACAGAGAAGGCAGAGGGCCUAAUCCUGAAAGGGGCAGAAAGCUGCUGGCUCUCACUGAAGGCGAAGAAAGCAUGGACUGAUCUGCAUUUCCCAGUAGUAAAAAAGAUACUUCUGAACUUCUACAAAAAACAUUUACGCCCAGGUGAGAAGAUCCAGCAGUUCCCGAUUCCUUUCUGGCUUAUCUUUGAUCCAUAUACAGUAAAAUCAUGAAGGCAGAUUGUUCCGAACAGAGGACUCUACAUGGUAAGUUGUCCUGGUUUCAGCUAGGAUAGAGUUAAUUUUCUUCCUAGUAGCUGAUGCAGUGUUGUGCUUUGGAUUUAGUGUGAGAGCAAUGUUGACAACACACUAAUAUUUUUAGUUGUUGCUGGGUAAUGUUUAUAGUAAAUCAAGGACUUCUGGGUUUCCUGGGCCUUGCCAGCAAGAGGGCUGGAGGGGCAAGGGCAAUUGGGAGGGGACACAGCCAGGACAGGUGACCCAAAUUAGCCAAAGGGAUAUUCCAUGCCAUGUGAUGUCAUGCUGAGUAUAUAAACUGGGGGAAGAAGGAGGAAGGGGGGGACAUUGGGCAUUAUGGCAUUUAUCUUCCUGACUAACCAUUACGCAUGAUAGAGCUCUGCUUUCCUGGGAAUGGCUGAACACCUGCCUGCCCAUGGGAAGCAGUGAAUGAAUUCCUUGCUUUGCUUUGCCUGUGUGUGUGGCUUUUGCUCUACCUAUUAAAUUGUUCUUAUCUCAACCCCUGAGUUUUACAUUCCUUUUUGAUUCUUCUACCCAUCCCUCUGGGUGAGGGGGAGUGAGCGAGCAGCUGCGUGGUGCUUGGUGGCUGGCCGGGGUUAAACCAUGACACAAGUUUAGCACACUGAUGAGGGGAAAAGGUGGCAAGUAUCUGUCCGUGGUGAGAGAGCAUACUGGAACUGGGCUUCAGAGCAGAGAUCACAAAAAAAUGGAGAAGGCUGUAGUGAGGACAGCAGAAAUCCACAAAAUUCUUUCCUCCCUCUGUGUUAGCUUGGGCUUAAUAGUUCUGUCUUCCUUCUUAGAAAAGACAAUAUUCAUUCAGAGAAGAAAGAGUUAUCAUUAUGGAAUAAAAUACAAGCAUGAUGCCAUAGGAAACUUAUUGAGCACAGUCAUUAGCUUGACUGAUAUAAUUAGAGGACAUGUAGAAAAUACAUCUCUUUACAAAUUGCUUCGAGAUAACGGAUAGAUUUACCUGCAGAUGGAGAUGAAAGUGUAGCUAAAACAACUAUAUGUGCAAUGAAGGAAAUGACUGUUUAAAAAUGUGAAAAUCUGAUAUAUCACUUCUUUUUCCCCUCACUAAUGUUAGAUGCAAAGACAACGCUAAUUCCCUACUCCUAUUUGCUAUAAACUUGCUUAUGCAUUCAAGAUGUGCAUUUUCCCUCUUACUCUACAGCUGUGUGCUGAAAACUAAUUUUUAACUGUAUGCCUAUCAUAAACAGUAUACUUUUUGUGAUUCCUUAUUGGAAAAAAGAAAUGCAGCAGUUCAUUGGAAAAAAAAAUUUGGAUCAGAUUCUUGUCUACGGUCAUUUAACUCAGUGAAUUCAAUAAAGUCAUGCAAGUUUAGGCAAGGUCAAGAACUUGUUUAGCAGUAUUGAAACAAAAAAACCUGGAAGAUAAGUGUUUUGUGAUUAAAACCAACAUGAUUGUGCAUCUGAACUCCCUUUUUCUACCCCCUUCGCAACAUUUAGGUAUUCACUUUUCUCAGGAUCCAUUAUUGAAGACACUGUGCUUCAUCACCAUUUCCAUUCAUCUAAAGUAAAAUGGUGCUUCCAGAUCUGGAAUAAACUGCACCUCCUGCCUUCCAACAGCUCCUACUAUAAGUAAAGACAUAUAAUGGCAGUUUAAUAUUAAUCAAACUUUGAGUUUGUCUUUCUGUCCACUGACCAAGUCUGGAAAAGGAAUUUGUACUUUGGUUGUACCUUGGAGCAGACCUGCAAUUCUCAGUUACUGCUCACCCCUUUUCAGUGGAGAAGCAGAUCUCUUUUAUCAAGGACUGAACCUGAAAGUUGAGUCUUACUGCUGGAGAUCACGGGUAUUUUUGCUAUCUUACAUAAGAAGCAGGUUUUUUUAUCUAAUAAAACACACAUAUACCACUUCUACAUACACAUUUUCUAUUUUCUUAUACUGAUUAUGAACAUUUCUUUUGUUUAUCCAGUAGACCACUUCUCUCACACAGAUUUGUUUUUCCUACAUUUAACAUGAAUCAAGUUUGCAAUUUUUUCCUUUCGCUUUUCUUCCAUACUAGCUAGUAAAAAAUACCCCCCCCAAACAAACCCCCAAAUCUGCCCAAGAAGCUUUGUAAAUUAUUGCAGCACAAAUGUGUGUGUCUAACUUUUUUUC
Falco peregrinus (peregrine falcon) is the source of this 3582-nucleotide long non-coding RNA. RefSeq lists it as uncharacterized. Lineage: Eukaryota; Metazoa; Chordata; Aves; Falconiformes; Falconidae. The transcript is spliced from 3 exons. The record is from RefSeq and is a predicted model, not a curated record.